RNAcentral lists this ribosomal RNA (532 nucleotides) under uncultured bacterium. Its description in RNAcentral is "bacterial SSU rRNA". It matches the Rfam family "Bacterial small subunit ribosomal RNA", at positions 777 to 1322 of the family's 1533-position model. The record is from RNAcentral.
AAUAGAUACCCGGGUAGUCCACGCCGUAAACGAUGGAUACUAGCUGUUGGAGGUAUCGACCCCUUCAGUAGCGAAGCUAACGCGUUAAGUAUCCCGCCUGUGGAGUACGGUCGCAAGACUAAAACAUAAAGGAAUUGACGGGGACCCGCACAAGCGGUGGAUCGUGUUCUUUAAUUCGAUGAUAAACGAAGAACCUUACCAGGGCUUGACAUCCUUGGAAGCACUGCGAAAGCAGAGUGUGCCUUUUGGAACCAAGUGACAGGUGAUGCAUGGCCGUCGUCAGCUCGUGUCGUGAGAUGUUUGGUUAAGUCCAUCAACGAGCGCAACCCUUGUGAAUAGUUGUAUUUUUCUAUUCAGACUGCCCCGGUAACGGGGAGGAAGGAGGGGAUGAUGUCAGGUCAGUAUUUCCCUUACGUCCUGGGCUAGAAACACGAUACAAUGGCUAGUACAAUGCGCAGCGAAGCCGCGAGGUGGAGCAAAUCGCAUCAAAGCUAGUCUCAGUUCGGAUAAGAGGCUGAAACUCGCCUCUUUG